Molecule: ribosomal RNA, 253 nt
Filed under: uncultured bacterium
Lineage: Bacteria
Description: partial 16S ribosomal RNA
Rfam family: Bacterial small subunit ribosomal RNA
Source: RNAcentral
UACGUAGGGCGCGAGCGUUGUCCGGAAUUACUGGGCGUAAAGCGUGCGCAGGCGGCUUCUCAAGUCAGGGGUGAAAGCCCAGAGCUCAACUCUGGAAUUGCCUUUGAGACUGAGUGGCUUGAGUACGAGAGAGGUGAGUGGAAUUCCCAGUGUAGAGGUGAAAUUCGUAGAUAUUGGGAAGAACACCGGUGGCGAAGGCGGCUCACUGGCUCGUAACUGACGCUCAUGCACGACAGCGUGGGGAUCAAACAGG